Molecule: ribosomal RNA, 494 nt
Filed under: uncultured bacterium
Lineage: Bacteria
Description: partial 16S ribosomal RNA
Rfam family: Bacterial small subunit ribosomal RNA
Source: RNAcentral
GACGAACGCUGGCGGCGUGCUUAACACAUGCAAGUCGAACGGUGAAGCGCCUUCCUUUUUGGUGGGUGUGGAUGAGUGGCGAACGGGUGAGUAACACGUGAGUAACCUGCCCCCUUCUUCUGGAUAACCGCAUGAAAGUGUGGCUAAUACGGGAUAUUCUGGGUCUGUCGCAUGAUGGGUCUGGGAAAGAUAUUGUUUCGGUGGGGGAUGGGCUCGCGGCCUAUCAGCUUGUUGGGGGGGUGAUGGCCUACCAAGGCGGGGACGGGUAGCCGGCCUGGGAGGGUGGACGGUCACACUGGGACUGAGACACGGCCCAGACUCCUACGGGGGGCAGCAGUGGGGAAUAUUGCACAAUGGGCGCAAGCCUGAUGCAGCGACGCCGCGUGAGGGAUGGAGGCCUUCGGGUUGUGAACCUCUUUCGCCAGUGAAGCAGGCCUGCCUCGUUUGUGGGUGGGUUGACGGUAGCUGGAUAAGAAGCGCCGGCUAACUACGUG